UGCGCAGGUGGCCCGACAAGUCUGGCGUUAAAGUGCGGGGCUCAACUCCGUGAUGCGCUGGAAACUGUCGGGCUAGAGUACAGCAGGGGGCGUCGGAAUUCCUAGUGUAGCGGUGAAAUGCGUAGAUAUUAGGAAGAACACCAGUGGCGGAGGCGGAUGACUGGACGACAACUGACGCUGAGGCGCGAAAGCGUGGGAGCAAACA
Molecule: ribosomal RNA, 205 nt
Filed under: uncultured bacterium
Lineage: Bacteria
Description: partial 16S ribosomal RNA
Rfam family: Bacterial small subunit ribosomal RNA
Source: RNAcentral